RNAcentral lists this ribosomal RNA (554 nucleotides) under uncultured bacterium. Its description in RNAcentral is "bacterial SSU rRNA". It matches the Rfam family "Bacterial small subunit ribosomal RNA", at positions 774 to 1337 of the family's 1533-position model. The record is from RNAcentral.
AGGUAAUAGAUACCCGGGUAGUCCACGCCGUAAACUAUGGAUGCUAGCUGUUAGAAGUAUCGACCCUUCUAGUAGCGAAAGCUAAACGCGUUAAGCAUCCCGCCUGUGGAGUACGAGCGCAAGCUUAAAACAUAAAGGAAUUGACGGGGACCCGCACAAGCGGUGGAGCGUGUUGUUUAAUUCGACGAUAAGCGAAGAACCUUACCAGGGCUUGACAUCUUGGGAAUUUCUCCGAAAGGAGAAAGUGCCUUCGGGAACCCAAUGACAGGUGUUGCAUGGCCGUCGUCAGCUCGUGUCGUGAGAUGUUUGGUUAAGUCCAUCAACGAGCGCAACCCUUAUAGUCAGUUGAAUUUCUCUGGCUAGACUGCCCCGGCAACGGGGUAGGAAGGAGGGGAUGAUGUCAGGUCAGUAUUACCCUUACGUCCUGGGCUACAAACACGCUACAAUGGCCGGUACAAAGGGCAGCCAACCCGCGAGGGGUAGCAAAUCCCAUCAAAGCCGGUCUCAGUUCGGAUUGUAGGCUGAAACCCGCCUGCAUGAAGCUGGAAUCGCUA